This 1142-nucleotide unclassified non-coding RNA is filed under the name Hevea brasiliensis (rubber tree). The record is from RNAcentral. Lineage: Eukaryota; Viridiplantae; Streptophyta; Magnoliopsida; Malpighiales; Euphorbiaceae.
UGCUGUACACUAUUCCACCUUUCAAUAAGCUUAACCUCUCAGGAUUAUGGCCAACUGUUCGAUCAUCAACUGCCUUAUCAAUAGUUGCAUACAAAGACCCAUCAAGACCACACUUGCUAAGUUGCUCUUGUCGGCACUCUCCAUAAUGCUCCAUAUUGUGUAUAGUCAAUAUGACUCGAGGCUUCUUAAGUGAAAGAUUCUGAUACAUAUCCCAGUAAAGCAGAGGCAAAGCACCAGUCUGCCACUCAUGGACAUGAAUAAUGUCAGGGNNNNNNNNNNNNAUUCAAGACAAGCACGGCUAAAAAACAAAUAAGCCUCCAACUCGUUGUAUGAACCACCAUACACAUGUUGCCCCUUGAAGAAUUCAUUUGAUGGCUCAAUAAAUAUCACCGGAAUCCCUGAAACUACUCCUCGAUAUGCAUUAGUUGGGAUCCAGUUCCCAUCGUGAUAUGAAUUAUAUGUAGUGAUUAAUGCCAAGUCAUUAAUUUGCUGCUUUUGAAUGCACUCGUAGAAAGGAAGCAUUAUAUCCACGGUAUGCCCUCGCAACAGGCAAGCACGGGCAAGUCCAGUCACAACAUCACCAAGGCCACCAACUUUGGCUAUGGGUGCCAUCUCAGCUGUAACGUGAACUACGUGCAAGAGAUCGGAAUCUUUGACAAUGUCAGUUGGAACUUCAGGGCUUGCAUCCCAUGAAGGGAAAUCCCUCUUCCAGAAUGGGAUUUCAUCAUCAGGAGAAGGCCAACCAAGUUCAUGCAAGCCCUGAAGUUCUUUCGAAACAAAACCAGCAGAACUUUUUUGUUUCAAGGCGCCCGCCUGUACAAGGAGAUGGGUCGAAGUAAGGAGUGACAGAAUGUUGAAUUCAGAGGAAAAGAGGUGGUGGGUAGGCAUUCCCUUCCUUUUCGGCAGCACUCCUUUCGUGGAAUGGAAGCAGCAUGGCUUACAAAACUUGCCCACUAAUGCACUCUCCAUUAUCAUCAUCGUUACCUGAUCUCUCUAUAGUUUAAAGCAAAAUCAGAAAUUUUUAAGCAGAACACGAUUGCAUUGCUUGAAUUAUUAUCCGUUAAACAAAAAGAAAAUUGGGAAAGACGGAAUUUUUUCGUUUUCUUCUGUUGCCCAGAAGCUAGCAAGCUGGUUCUCGCUAC